This 867-nucleotide long non-coding RNA is filed under the name Felis catus (domestic cat). RNAcentral's name for it is "lncRNA (ENSFCAG00000045495.2)". Lineage: Eukaryota; Metazoa; Chordata; Mammalia; Carnivora; Felidae. The record is from RNAcentral.
GCUCUUUUAAAUUUUGCCUUUUUUUUUUUUCAGUUGAGAAGGAUGUGUCAAGAAAAAUCUCUUUCUAUACUCUGGCCUCCAGAGAAAGGGGAACACAGAAGAACUGGUACCUCCAAAGAUAGGAAGAACUGAAAGAAGGAAAGGAGGAGGGAAGAAAGUGGAGAGGAGAAGACAGAAGAGGAGGAAAAAGAGAGAAAAAGGAGGUAGGAAAAAAGGAAGGGAAGGAGGCACGGAAGAGAAGGAAAGGAAAAGAGAAAGAAGAGAAGGAAAGAAUAAAAGAAAGAAAGAGAGUCUACAAACUAAGGAGGGUUUUGUGGGAGAAAACGCUAGGGAAAACAAUGCUAGCUUGCCUUUAAUUAGUGUGAAAAAAAAAGACAAAGUGAACAUUUUUUCCCUUUUUGAAAAAAGAAGGCACUACCGUUUGAAAUGGUAACUGUUUACAAGACAAACUAAGUUACAUGUGAACAACACUAUCAGCGUUCCAACACCCAAUCUUGCACCAUAUUGUGUAUCCACUUAAGAAAAACUGGCUCCAAUUAGGGAUCUCCUGUCGAGCAUCUUAUUUAUCUGCUUCCAGAACAGCUGUGAGCCAUUCAGGAUGCCACCAGUUUUUCCUCAUUACACUCUCCUUAGAAUUACAGAUGUGCCUGGCUCAUCCCCAGGGAGCCACAUUCUAGUAAACACAUCCUUCCUAUGUUUCGGGGGCUUCUCUGAAAUAAGCUUGUGAACACAGGCUGACAUGGUCAGUUGAAGUUGGCUUAAGAGACUUAAGGCUGCAAAUACCCCCUGUAAUUUCUUGGGAAAGGAGAGCUGGAUAAUGAAAAGGAUUUAGGGUGUGUGGGGGAAAGGGAGGGAGCUGGUCAAAAU